AGCGAACGCUGGCGGCAGGCUUAACACAUGCAAGUCGAGCGGGCACUUUCGGGUGUCAGCGGCGGACGGGUGAGUAACGCGUGGGAACGUGCCCUCUGGUUCGGAAUAACUCAGGGAAACUUGAGCUAAUACCGGAUACGCCCUUUUGGGGAAAGGCUUGCUGCCGGAGGAUCGGCCCGCGUCUGAUUAGCUAGUUGGUGAGGUAACGGCUCACCAAGGCGACGAUCAGUAGCUGGUCUGAGAGGAUGAUCAGCCACACUGGGACUGAGACACGGCCCAGAAUCCUACGGGAGGCAGCAGUGGGGAAUAUUGGACAAUGGGCGCAAGCCUGAUCCAGCCAUGCCGCGUGAGUGAUCAAGGCCUUAGGGUUGUAAAGCUCUUUUAUCCGGGACGAUAAUGACGGUACCGGAGGAAUAAGCCCCGGCUAACUUCGUG
Molecule: ribosomal RNA, 435 nt
Filed under: uncultured bacterium
Lineage: Bacteria
Description: partial 16S ribosomal RNA
Rfam family: Bacterial small subunit ribosomal RNA
Source: RNAcentral